This 465-nucleotide ribosomal RNA is filed under the name Vreelandella stevensii. RNAcentral's name for it is "partial 16S ribosomal RNA". It matches the Rfam family "Bacterial small subunit ribosomal RNA", at positions 338 to 795 of the family's 1533-position model. Lineage: Bacteria; Pseudomonadati; Pseudomonadota; Gammaproteobacteria; Oceanospirillales; Halomonadaceae. The record is from RNAcentral.
CCUACGGGGGGCAGCAGUGGGGAAUAUUGGACAAUGGGGGGAACCCUGAUCCAGCCAUGCCGCGUGUGUGAAGAAGGUCCUCGGGUUGUAAAGCACUUUCAGUGAGGAAGAACGCCUGGUGGUUAAUACCCAUCAGGAAAGACAUCACUCACAGAAGAAGCACCGGCUAACUCCGUGCCAGCAGCCGCGGUAAUACGGAGGGUGCGAGCGUUAAUCGGAAUUACUGGGCGUAAAGCGCGCGUAGGUGGCUUGAUAAGCCGGUUGUGAAAGCCCCGGGCUCAACCUGGGAACGGCAUCCGGAACUGUCAAGCUAGAGUGCAGGAGAGGAAGGUAGAAUUCCCGGUGUAGCGGUGAAAUGCGUAGAGAUCGGGAGGAAUACCAGUGGCGAAGGCGGCCUUCUGGACUGACACUGACACUGAGGUGCGAAAGCGUGGGUAGCAAACAGGAUUAGAUACCCGUGUAGUC